UCCCUGGUGGUCUAGUGGUUAAGACUUGGAGUUUUCACCACUACAACCUAGGUUCAACCCUGGUCUGGGAA
RNAcentral lists this transfer RNA (71 nucleotides) under Sus scrofa (pig). It matches the Rfam family "tRNA". From Rfam's summary of the family: Transfer RNA (tRNA) molecules are approximately 80 nucleotides in length. Their secondary structure includes four short double-helical elements and three loops (D, anti-codon, and T loops). Further hydrogen bonds mediate the characteristic L-shaped molecular structure. tRNAs have two regions of fundamental functional importance: the anti-codon, which is responsible for specific mRNA codon recognition, and the 3' end, to which the tRNAs corresponding amino acid is attached (by aminoacyl-tRNA synthetases). tRNAs cope with the degeneracy of the genetic code in two manners: having more than one tRNA (with a specific anti-codon) for a particular amino acid; and 'wobble' base-pairing, i.e. permitting non-standard base-pairing at the 3rd anti-codon position. Lineage: Eukaryota; Metazoa; Chordata; Mammalia; Artiodactyla; Suidae. The record is from Rfam by way of RNAcentral.